GUUUUAAUAAUUUAUAUAAAAUAUUAGUCUUGUAAACUAAAAAUAAGUUCCGCUUUUAAAACA
Molecule: transfer RNA, 63 nt
Filed under: Thesaurus albertalleni
Lineage: Eukaryota; Metazoa; Arthropoda; Insecta; Coleoptera; Cucujidae
Description: tRNA-Thr
Source: RNAcentral